This 879-nucleotide ribosomal RNA is filed under the name uncultured Planctomycetota bacterium. RNAcentral's name for it is "bacterial SSU rRNA". It matches the Rfam family "Bacterial small subunit ribosomal RNA", at positions 28 to 895 of the family's 1533-position model. The record is from RNAcentral. Lineage: Bacteria; Pseudomonadati; Planctomycetota.
AACGAACGCUGGCGGCGUGGCUAAGACAUGCAAGUCGAACGGACUGCUCAAUUUAUUGGACAGUUAGUGGCGAAAGGGUUAGGAACGGAUGGGUAACGUACCCUGUGCUUUGGGAUAGCGUCAUCCCGACUUCGGUCGGGAUUUCCGAAAGGGGCGGUAAUACCAAAAAUAUCAUUUGUCUAUAGGCGGAUGAUCAAAGAUUUAUCGGCAUAGGCGCGGCCUGUCUCCUAUCAGCUUGUUGGUGAGGUAACGGCUCACCAAGGCAACGACGGGUAGCGGGACUGAGAGGUUGGCCCGCAACAUCGGGACUGAGACACUGCCCGGACCUCCACGGAGGGCUGCAGUAACGAAUAUUGUGCAAUGGGCGAAAGCCUGACACAGCGACGCCGCGUGUAGGAGGAAGUCCUUCGGGAUGUAAACUACUGUCAGGGGGAAGAAAGUGCGCUUCGGCGCAUUGAUCUAACUCAGAGGAAGUCACGGCUAACUUCGUGCCAGCAGCCGCGGUAAGACGAAGGUGGCAAGCGUUGUUCGGUAUUACUGGGCUUAAAGCGUGUGUAGGCGGAAAGGUAAGCGUUUCGUGAAAUCCCCCGGCUUAACCGGGGAACUGCGCAACGAACUGCUUUUCUUGAGGCAAGUAGGGGCGCAUGGAACUCUUGGUGGAGCGGUGGAAUGCGUAGAUAUCAAGAGGAACGCCAGUGGAGAAAUCGGUGCGCUGGGCUUGUUCUGACGCUGAGGCACGAAAGCGUGGGUAGCGAACGGGAUUAGAUACCCCGGUAGUCCACGCCGUAAACGAUGCCUACUAGGUUGUGAAAGUUCUGACACUGGCACAGCCGAAGCAAAAGUGUUAAGUAGGCCGCCUGGGGAGACGGUCGCAAGGCU